Molecule: ribosomal RNA, 255 nt
Filed under: uncultured bacterium
Lineage: Bacteria
Description: partial 16S ribosomal RNA
Rfam family: Bacterial small subunit ribosomal RNA
Source: RNAcentral
UACGUAGGGUGCAAGCAUUAUUCGGAGUGACUGGGCGUAAAGAGUUGCGUAGGUGGUUUGUUAAGUGAAUAGUGAAAUCUGGUGGCUCAACCAUACAGACUAUUAUUCAAACUGGCAAACUCGAGAGUAGCAGAGGUAACUGGAAUUUCUAGUGUAGGGGUAAAAUCCGUAGAUAUUAGAAAGAACACCAAUGGCGUAGGCAGGUUACUGGGCUAUUUCUGACACUGAGGCACGAAAGCGUGGGGAGCGAACCGG